This 239-nucleotide long non-coding RNA is filed under the name Citrus sinensis (sweet orange). RNAcentral describes it as "long non-coding RNA (CSIN_LNC005790)". The record is from RNAcentral. Lineage: Eukaryota; Viridiplantae; Streptophyta; Magnoliopsida; Sapindales; Rutaceae.
CUUAGAAGUGAAUCCUCUGUAAAAUACGAGUUGAGCUGCUGAAUUUUUCGAGUUUGAAUGAGAGACUGCGCCGUUUCUGAAAAUGUUUUUUUCUCAUUAGCGCCGCCAUUUUUGUAAUAGAGGGUAAAGAAAUAAGUAACAAAGUAAGAGGUGAGCAGAAGCGGCCCAAUUUAGCUAUAUGCCAUGCAUGCGAUCAAAAUUGAAUGGUUAAAUGGCAGCCACUAUGUUACAUCUUGUGU